This is an RNA transcript of Herpailurus yagouaroundi (jaguarundi), 1491 nucleotides long. It is a transcript of the gene named apelin receptor early endogenous ligand, with no coding region annotated. The record is from RefSeq and is a predicted model, not a curated record. NCBI's taxonomy places the organism in Eukaryota, Metazoa, Chordata, Mammalia, Carnivora, Felidae. The transcript is spliced from 4 exons.
GUUUGAGACCGAGGGAGGCUCGACCACAGCACCAGUAACCUUGUCUGAUGUGAUCAUUAACCUUUCUGGAAAAUGCAGCUGGCAGUUCUCUGAGGCUCGUCAUUAGAAUGUGAGGAAAGCCACACAGAUAUUGCCCAGACUAUUCAAAGAUUGUUUGGUUUACACUGAGAGCUAUUGCUCCGCUUCCGUGCGGCAGAAAAAUGAGGUUGCAACAAUUCUUUUGUGUAUUUUUUAUUUUUGUGAUGAGUCUUCUUCUUAUCAACGGACAGAGACCAGCUAAUUUGGCAUUGAGAAGAAAAUUGCACAGACACAACUGCCUUCAGAGGAGAUGUAUGCCACUCCAUUCACGGGUGCCCUUCCCCUGAGGGGAUAAGAAAGAAUCAAGACUGGCUUGCAUGGAUUCAAGCUCUGGCCACAAGCUCGUUCAGUGGUCAUUGAUCUUAAGCUAACUUCACCUGGUUUGCCAGAAGAGGAGUGAAUAAAAGAUACCCACCCACACCAUAGUGUGAUUGCUUAGAAGCUCCUGUACAAAAAGGAAUCAUUUGAAAGCACCUGCGAUGGUUUCUUAGUUUUACAGGAUUCUCUUUUUCCUGGUUUCUCUUUAGAGGGGAAAAUAACAUAAAUUCAAAAACAAUUCCAAUCCGAAGCACAGUUAUUUGCUUAUAUAACAAAAUCUCUCAUCUUUUUCUGUAUAUUACUAUUCUUAGAUGAGUUAAAAAGAAAUAUACUUUUUAAUGUCUUAGAACUCUGUAAUAAUCAAAAGUACAAGAAUUAAAAUUUUUCUUUCAUAUUCCUCUAAUUCUCCAAAAUUAAAAUAAGUGUUUAUAUGUUUGAGUGAUUUUUUCCAAAAAUGCUAAAUCUGAGAUAAAAUGCAUUGGUCAUUUGGCUUUACAGAAUAGGGAUAAAUUAAUUGGUUCAUCGAUUCUUUAUAUAGAGAGACUAAGAAAGAAGCCACCGACUGCUACCAAUUUUAAAUUAUAGGCUUUAAUGCUUAUGAAAGUAUUUUUUAUUUUAAAUAAUAUUCAUAAAGUCGUAAAGAAAGUUUUAAAAACUAACUGAAAUGAUCAUUUCUGAAUCUAUUUCUCAUUAUGUAAUUAUAAGAAGCCAAUGUUUGAUUUCCUUUGAAGUUCUGUUAGAUCUUUCCAAGUUGUUAGAUACACUCUUAAUUUGUAUUCAUUGAAAAGAUCACUCAAUUCCAUAAGGUUUUUAUUUUAUUGUAAGUUAAUUCCAGGUAUGAAAUUUACAAAUUCUUUUCUUGAUUAGAAAUUUUGCUUUGUAAACAUUAUAGAGUAGGAGAAGCCAUAAGCCAUUAACCCUUAUUUUGCUAAAAUAAAUUUGGGAUUGGUAUACUCUAAAGAAUUUGAGACAGAAAUUCUGAAAUCACAGUUUGUCUCCCUUUCACAGUUUAUUAAUGGCAUCUUUUGGGAUGAAAAGUAUUUAUAGAAAGAACUGUAACUAACUUUAAACACUAAAGAUGUUUUAUGAAAUGUG